AUGAACGCUGGCGGCGUGCCUAAUACAUGCAAGUCGAGCGAACGGACGAGAAGCUUGCUUCUCUGAUGUUAGCGGCGGACGGGUGAGUAACACGGGGAUAACCUACCUAUAAGACUGGGAUAACCUCGGGAAACCGGAGCUAAUCCCGGAUAAUAUUCUGAACCGCAUGGUUCAAAAGUGAAAGACGGUCUUGCUGUCACUUAUAGAUGGAUCCGCGCUGCGUUAGCUAGUUGGUAAGGUAACGGCUUACCCAGGCAACGAUGCAUAGCCGACCUGAGAGGGUGAUCGGCCACACGGGAACUGAGACACGGUCCAGACUCCUACGGGAGGCAGCAGUAGGGAAUCUUCCGCAAUGGGCGAAAACCUGACGGAGCAACGCCGCGUGAGUGAUGAAGGUCUUCGGAUCGUAAAACUCUGUUAUUAGGGAAGAACAUAUGUGUAAGUAACUGUGCACAUCUUGACGGUACCUAGUCAAAAAGCCACGGCUAACUACGUG
RNAcentral lists this ribosomal RNA (496 nucleotides) under uncultured bacterium. RNAcentral's name for it is "partial 16S ribosomal RNA". It matches the Rfam family "Bacterial small subunit ribosomal RNA", at positions 29 to 507 of the family's 1533-position model. The record is from RNAcentral.